UACGGAGGUUGCAAGCGUUUGUUCGGAAUUACUGGGCGUAAAGGGGGCGCAGGCGGUUCGCCAAGUUGAAAGUGGAAGCCCGGGGCUCAACCCCGGAUUGUCUUUCAAUACUAGCGAACUUGAGUUUGGGAGAGGAAAGCGGAAUUCCGGGUGUAGCGGUGAAAUGCGUAGAUAUCUGGAGGAACACCGGUGGCGAAGGCGGGUCUCUGGGCAGUAACUGACGCUGAGGAGCGAAAGCGUGGGGAGCGAACAGG
Molecule: ribosomal RNA, 254 nt
Filed under: uncultured bacterium
Lineage: Bacteria
Description: partial 16S ribosomal RNA
Rfam family: Bacterial small subunit ribosomal RNA
Source: RNAcentral